RNAcentral lists this ribosomal RNA (491 nucleotides) under uncultured bacterium. RNAcentral describes it as "partial 16S ribosomal RNA". It matches the Rfam family "Bacterial small subunit ribosomal RNA", at positions 28 to 507 of the family's 1533-position model. The record is from RNAcentral.
GAUGAACGCUAGCUACAGGCUUAACACAUGCAGGUCGAGGGGAAACGACAUUGAAGCUUGCUUCGAUGGUCGUCGACCGGCGCACGGGUGAGUAACGCGUAUCCAACCUGCCUCUGACCAAGGGAUAACCCGUCGAAAGUCGGCCUAAUACCUUAUGCAGUCGUCGGAAGUCAUCUGAUGACGACGAAAGAUUUCAUCGGUGAGAGAUGGGGAUGCGUCUGAUUAGCUUGUUGGCGGGGUAACGGCCCACCAAGGCAACGAUCAGUAGGGGUUCUGAGAGGAAGGUCCCCCACAUUGGAACUGAGACACGGUCCAAACUCCUACGGGAGGCAGCAGUGAGGAAUAUUGGUCAAUGGGCGAGAGCCUGAACCAGCCAUGUAGCGUGCAGGAUGACGGCCCUAUGGGUGGUAAACUGCUUUUAUGCGGGGAUAAAGUGAGGGACGUGUCCUUCAUUGCAGGUACCGCAUGAAUAAGGACCGGCUAAUUCCGUG